UUGACAAAUUGGGUGGAUAUGCGUAAC
This 27-nucleotide small RNA is filed under the name Bombyx mori (domestic silkworm). RNAcentral's name for it is "piRNA piR-bmo-1261700". Lineage: Eukaryota; Metazoa; Arthropoda; Insecta; Lepidoptera; Bombycidae. The record is from RNAcentral.